This 497-nucleotide ribosomal RNA is filed under the name uncultured bacterium. RNAcentral's name for it is "partial 16S ribosomal RNA". It matches the Rfam family "Bacterial small subunit ribosomal RNA", at positions 28 to 507 of the family's 1533-position model. The record is from RNAcentral.
GACGAACGCUGGCGGCGUGCCUAAUACAUGCAAGUAGAACGCUGAAGAGAGGAGCUUGCUCUUCUUGGAUGAGUUGCGAACGGGUGAGUAACGCGUAGGUAACCUGCCUUGUAGCGGGGGAUAACUAUUGGAAACGAUAGCUAAUACCGCAUAACAAUAGGUGACACAUGUCAUUUAUUUGAAAGGGGCAAUUGCUCCACUACAAGAUGGACCUGCGUUGUAUUAGCUAGUAGGUGAGGUAACGGCUCACCUAGGCGACGAUACAUAGCCGACCUGAGAGGGUGAUCGGCCACACUGGGACGGGGACACGGCCCAGACUCCUUCGGGAGGCAGCAGUAGGGAAUCUUCGGCAAUGGGGGCAGCCCUUACCGAGCAACGCCGCGUGAGUGAAGAAGAUUUUCGGAUCGUAAAGCUCGGUUGUAAGUCAAGAACGAGUGUGAGAGUGGAAAGUUCACACUGUGACGGUAGCUUACCAGAAAGGGACGGCUAACUACGUG